This 490-nucleotide ribosomal RNA is filed under the name uncultured bacterium. Its description in RNAcentral is "partial 16S ribosomal RNA". It matches the Rfam family "Bacterial small subunit ribosomal RNA", at positions 30 to 507 of the family's 1533-position model. The record is from RNAcentral.
AUUGAACGCUGGCGGCAGGCCUAACACAUGCAAGUCGAACGGUAACAGGAAGAAGCUUGCUUCUUUGCUGACGAGUGGCGGACGGGUGAGUAAUGUCUGGGAAACUGCCUGAUGGAGGGGGAUAACUACUGGAAACGGUAGCUAAUACCGCAUAACGUCGCAAGACCAAAGAGGGGGAGCUUCUGGCCUCUUGCCAUCGGAUGUGCCCAGAUGGGAUUAGCUAGUAGGUGGGGUAACGGCUCACCUAGGCGACGAUCCCUAGCUGGUCUGAGAGGAUGAUCAGCCACACUGGAACUGAGACACGGUCCAGACUCCUACGGGAGGCAGCAGUGGGGAAUAUUGCACAAUGGGCGCAAGCCUGAUGCAGCCAUGCCGCGUGUAUGAAGAAGGCCUUCGGGUUGUAAAGUACUUUCAGCGGGGAGGAAGGGAGUAAGGUUAAUACCUUUCCUCAUUGACGUUACCCGAAGAAGAAGCACCGGCUAACUCCGUG